RNAcentral lists this ribosomal RNA (253 nucleotides) under uncultured bacterium. Its description in RNAcentral is "partial 16S ribosomal RNA". It matches the Rfam family "Bacterial small subunit ribosomal RNA", at positions 524 to 776 of the family's 1533-position model. The record is from RNAcentral.
UACGUAGGGUGCAAGCGUUGUCCGGAAUUAUUGGGCGUAAAGAGCUCGUAGGCGGUCUGCCGCGUCUGCUGUGAAAACUCAGGGCUUAACCCUGAGCUUGCAGUGGGUACGGGCAGACUAGAGUGCGGUAGGGGAGACUGGAAUUCCUGGUGUAGCGGUGAAAUGCGCAGAUAUCAGGAAGAACACCCGUGGCUAAGGCGGCUCUCUAGUACGGUACUGACGCUGAGACGCGAAAGCGUGGGGAGCGAACAGG